This 662-nucleotide ribosomal RNA is filed under the name uncultured bacterium. RNAcentral's name for it is "bacterial SSU rRNA". It matches the Rfam family "Bacterial small subunit ribosomal RNA", at positions 71 to 719 of the family's 1533-position model. The record is from RNAcentral.
GCUUGCUCCACCGGGAAAAGAGGAGUGGCGAACGGGUGAGUAACACGUGGGUAACCUGCCCAUCAGAAGGGGAUAACACUUGGAAACAGGUGCUAAUACCGUAUAACAAUCGAAACCGCAUGGUUUCGUUUUGAAAGGCGCUUUACGGUGCCGCUGAUGGAUGGACCCGCGGUGCAUUAGCUAGUUGGUGAGGUAACGGCUCACCAAGGCCACGAUGCAUAGCCGACCUGAGAGGGUGAUCGGCCACAUUGGGACUGAGACACGGCCCAAACUCCUACGGGAGGCAGCAGUAGGGAAUCUUCGGCAAUGGACGAAAGUCUGACCGAGCAACGCCGCGUGAGUGAAGAAGGUUUUCGGAUCGUAAAACUCUGUUGUUAGAGAAGAACAAGGGUGAGAGUAACUGUUCACCCCUUGACGGUAUCUAACCAGAAAGCCACGGCUAACUACGUGCCAGCAGCCGCGGUAAUACGUAGGUGGCAAGCGUUGUCCGGAUUUAUUGGGCGUAAAGCGAGCGCAGGCGGUUUCUUAAGUCUGAUGUGAAAGCCCCCGGCUCAACCGGGGAGGGUCAUUGGAAACUGGGAGACUUGAGUGCAGAAGAGGAGAGUGGAAUUCCAUGUGUAGCGGUGAAAUGCGUAGAUAUAUGGAGGAACACCAGUGGCGAA